GCUUUUCCCCCCCCGGCUCUAGCAUAUCAAUAAGCGACAGUAGUUAGAACAACAGGGAUGGCCCCCAGUAACGGCGAGUGAAGCGGCAACAGCUCAAAUUUGAAAUCUGGCUUCGGCCCGAGUUGUAAUUUGUAGAGGAUGCUUUUGGUGAGGUGCCUUCUGAGUUCCCUGGAACGGGACGCCAGAGAGGGUGAGAGCCCCGUAUAGUUGGACACCGAGCCUCUGUAAAGCUCCUUCGACGAGUCGAGUAGUUUGGGAAUGCUGCUCAAAAUGGGAGGUAUAUCUCUUCUAAAGCUAAAUACUGGCCAGAGACCGAUAGCGCACAAGUAGAGUGAUCGAAAGAUGAAAAGCACUUUGAAAAGAGGGUUAAAUAGUACGUGAAAUUGUUGAAAGGGAAGCGCUUGUGACCAGACUUGUGCCCGGCUGAUCAUCCAGUGUUCUCACUGGUGCACUCUGCCGGGCUCAGGCCAGCGUCGGUUCUCGCAGGGGGACAAAAGCUUCGGGAACGUAGCUCCUCCGGGAGUGUUAUAGCCCGUCGCUCAAUACCCCUGCGGGGACCGAGGUUCGCGCUCUGCAAGGACGCUGGCAUAAUGGUCACCAGCGGCCCGUCUUGAAACACGGACCAAGGAGUCGAGGUUUUGCGCGAGUGUUUGGGUGUAAAACCCGCACGCGUAAUGAAAGUGAACGUAGGUGAGAGCUUCGGCGCAUCAUCGACCGAUCCUGAUGUAUUCGGAUGGAUUUGAGUAAGAGCGUAUAGCCCUCGGACCCGAAAGAUGGUGAACUAUGCCUGAAUAGGGGUGAAGCCAGAGGAAACUCUGGUGGAGGCUCGCAGCGGUUCUGACGUGCAAAUCGAUCGUCAAAUUUGGGCAUGGGGGGCGAAAGACUAAUCGAACCAUCUAGUAGCUGGGUUACCGCCGAUCCUUCCCCCCCCCCAAGAAGGAA
This 942-nucleotide ribosomal RNA is filed under the name Coniochaeta tetraspora. RNAcentral's name for it is "LSU rRNA". It matches the Rfam family "Eukaryotic large subunit ribosomal RNA", at positions 24 to 983 of the family's 3401-position model. Lineage: Eukaryota; Fungi; Ascomycota; Sordariomycetes; Coniochaetales; Coniochaetaceae. The record is from RNAcentral.